UCAUCUUCCACAGGAGAAAAAUGAAGCCUAAAGAGGUUGUGCAGCAUAUCCAAAGUCACAUAAGUGGUGGAACCAGGUCAAGCCUGAGUCUACUGAUGUAGAGUCCUCAAUCCAGCACUCUCAUCUUCUAAGGCAGGAGCGAGAUAAUCUGCACUCCGUUGUCUUUAAGGCUUUUCAUCUUUUCUCAAGUUGAUACUAGAUCUGAGUAAUUCUGGACGAGAGGUCUGGAGAUCUGCUGCACAACAAUGUGAAUACAGUUAGCACAACUGGACUAUUCCCUUCAAAACAGUUAAGAUGGCUGAAAAGCAGAUUCCCCAGAAGAAAUGAAUACAACCACCCACAACCUGGGUUUCUGACACCGUUCCCCACUCAAGAAGAAUUCAGGGCUCCUUGGGGAAAUGUUGGAGCAGAAAGACACAAAAUGAGCCCCUAACACCUAGCAG
Molecule: long non-coding RNA, 443 nt
Organism: Suricata suricatta (meerkat)
Lineage: Eukaryota; Metazoa; Chordata; Mammalia; Carnivora; Herpestidae
Exons: 3
Source: RefSeq, a predicted model, not a curated record